CCCUUAGAUGUCCUGGGCCGCACGCGCGCCACACUGAUGCAUUCAACGAGUUUUACCUUGGCCGAGAGGCCUGGGCAAUCUUUUAAACCUGCAUCGUGAUAGGGAUAGAUUAUUGCAAUUAUUAAUCUUGAACGAGGAAUUCCUAGUAAACGCAGAUCAUCAAUCUGCAUUGAUUACGUCCCUGCCCUUUGUACACACCGCCCGUCGCACCUACCGAUUGAAUGGUCCGGUGAAGCCUCGGGAUUGUGGCCAGUUCACUUUAUUGGGAGUUGGCUGCGAGAACUUGUCUAAACCUUAUCAUUUAGAGGAAGGUGAAGUCGUAACA
RNAcentral lists this ribosomal RNA (325 nucleotides) under uncultured eukaryote. RNAcentral describes it as "partial 18S ribosomal RNA". It matches the Rfam family "Eukaryotic small subunit ribosomal RNA", at positions 1470 to 1796 of the family's 1831-position model. The record is from RNAcentral.